AAAAAGAGAAGGAGAGUCCUUUUUCUUUGGGUGUGUGAAAAAAUCUAGUUUCUAGGAUUUUGGUCGUAAGGGUUUGAGAAGAGAAAAAAAAUAAGAAAAAAAUUAUUUUCUUCUCUAUAUUUUUUUUACAUCUUUAUCUCCUCAAGAAGUCCAUCUUUACAAUCCAGAUCAGUCAAGAAAAAGAUCUUCAUGCGAGCUAGCACUCCCGAGAAGACCGAUC
RNAcentral lists this long non-coding RNA (220 nucleotides) under Elaeis guineensis (African oil palm). Its description in RNAcentral is "long non-coding RNA (EGUI_LNC040156)". The record is from RNAcentral. Lineage: Eukaryota; Viridiplantae; Streptophyta; Magnoliopsida; Arecales; Arecaceae.